RNAcentral lists this ribosomal RNA (253 nucleotides) under uncultured bacterium. RNAcentral describes it as "partial 16S ribosomal RNA". It matches the Rfam family "Bacterial small subunit ribosomal RNA", at positions 524 to 776 of the family's 1533-position model. The record is from RNAcentral.
GACGGACCACCCAAACGUUAUUCGGAAUCACUGGGCUUAAAGGGUGCGUAGGCGGCGUAGUAAGUCGGGUGUGAAAUCCCCCAGCUUAACUGGGGAAUUGCGCCCGAAACUGUUGCGCUCGAGGGAGACAGAGGUGAGCGGAACUGAUGGUGGAGCGGUGAAAUGCGUUGAUAUCAUCAGGAACACCGGUGGCGAAAGCGGCUCACUGGGUCUCUUCUGACGCUCAGGCACGAAAGCUAGGGGAGCAAACGGG